UACGGAGGGUGCAAGCGUUGUUCGGAAUUACUGGGCGUAAAGCGCGCGUAGGCGGCCCUGCAAGUCGGGGGUGAAAGCCCGAGGCUCAACCUCGGAACUGCCUUCGAUACUGCGGGUCUCGAGUCCGGGAGAGGUGAGUGGAAUUCCUGGUGUAGAGGUGAAAUUCGUAGAUAUUGGGAGGAACACCAGUGGCGAAGGCGGCUCACUGGCCCGGUACUGACGCUGAGGCGCGAAAGCGUGGGGAGCAAACAGG
This 253-nucleotide ribosomal RNA is filed under the name uncultured bacterium. RNAcentral's name for it is "partial 16S ribosomal RNA". It matches the Rfam family "Bacterial small subunit ribosomal RNA", at positions 524 to 776 of the family's 1533-position model. The record is from RNAcentral.